UACGGGGGGAGCAAGCGUUGUUCGGAUUUACUGGGCGUAAAGGGCGCGUAGGCGGCCACCGCAAGUCGACUGUGAAAUCUCCGGGCUUAACCCGGAAAGGUCAGCCGAUACUGCUGGGCUAGAGUGCAGAAGGGGCAACUGGAAUUCUCGGUGUAGCGGUGAAAUGCGUAGAUAUCGGAAGGAACACCGGUGGCGAAAGCGGCGCGCUGGAUCUCUUCUGACGCUGAGGCGCGAAAGCCAGGGGAGCGAACGGG
RNAcentral lists this ribosomal RNA (254 nucleotides) under uncultured bacterium. RNAcentral describes it as "partial 16S ribosomal RNA". It matches the Rfam family "Bacterial small subunit ribosomal RNA", at positions 524 to 776 of the family's 1533-position model. The record is from RNAcentral.